GCCUGGCUGGCUCAAUUGGAAGAGUGCAUGACUCUUGAUCUCGGGGUUGUGAGUUCAAGUCCCACACUGGGUA
This 73-nucleotide transfer RNA is filed under the name Canis lupus familiaris (dog). It matches the Rfam family "tRNA". From Rfam's summary of the family: Transfer RNA (tRNA) molecules are approximately 80 nucleotides in length. RNAcentral also lists the same sequence under 3 other names. Lineage: Eukaryota; Metazoa; Chordata; Mammalia; Carnivora; Canidae. The record is from Rfam by way of RNAcentral.